RNAcentral lists this ribosomal RNA (464 nucleotides) under uncultured bacterium. Its description in RNAcentral is "partial 16S ribosomal RNA". It matches the Rfam family "Bacterial small subunit ribosomal RNA", at positions 29 to 507 of the family's 1533-position model. The record is from RNAcentral.
ACGAACGCUGGCGGCGUGCUUAACACAUGCAAGUCGAACGGUAAGGCUCCAGCUUGCUGGGGUACACGAGUGGCGAACGGGUGAGUAACACGUGGGUGACCUGCCCUGCACUUCGGGAUAAGCCUGUGAAACUGGGUCUAAUACCGGAUAGGACCGCACCGUGAGGGUGUGGUGGAAAGUUUUUUCGGUGUGGGAUGGGCCCGCGGCCUAUCAGCUUGUUGGUGGGGUAAUGGCCUACCAAGGCGGCGACGGGUAGCCGGCCUGAGAGGGUGGACGGCCACAUUGGGACUGAGACACGGCCCAGACUCCUACGGGAGGCAGCAGUGGGGAAUAUUGCACAAUGGGCGGAAGCCUGAUGCAGCGACGCCGCGUGGGGGAUGACGGCCUUCGGGUUGUAAACUCCUUUCACCAUCGACGAAGGGUUUCUGACGGUAGAUGGAGAAGAAGCACCGGCUAACUACGUG